AGAGCGCGAAGGAGGACUGGGCGCGAGUCUACUCAUUACAUGUACUGUAAUCCUGUCACAACCGCAUGGUCAGGAGAAUGACGAAGCCGGGAAGAGUCUAACAGCCAAUCACCAUCUUGUAUUACUAUGAUAAGAUCGUUGUUCAGAACCACAACGAUAUCAGAAUGGAAAAGGCUACUGUGUUUAGCGUACCACAACUGGCACACAGAAAAGUUCCAAGCGGCAGCGAACCAAACAAGAAGGAAUUGUCUAGCGGACGAAUGAAUUCAGCCCAACUGGUGUACGUGAAAGUUCCAAGCCGCAGCGAACCAAACAAGCAGGCGGCACUUCGCCCUUCGCCAUAUCUGGAGGUGUAUCGUUUGAAUUGAGGGAUGAUGGACAAGAAACUGAAGAAUGUUGGGAGGAGCUAGACUAUUGUUGACACGUCGCGCUAUUAUGUAAACGUUAGUCCUAGACAAUAGACUCUUGGUGUGUGUGUGCGCGCGUGUUGUAUCGUUCUGGUUGUAGAGCACGCAGUAAUAGUUCCUGUUGAGUUGAGAGCUCUACUAGUAUUUGGGCGUGUUGUUAGUCCAGACUUAUCUUAUCGUUAGCCGUAGUGUUACAAAUACAAGUUGUGUUCUGAGCACUA
Corticium candelabrum is the source of this 628-nucleotide long non-coding RNA. RefSeq lists it as uncharacterized. The transcript is spliced from 4 exons. The record is from RefSeq and is a predicted model, not a curated record. Lineage: Eukaryota; Metazoa; Porifera; Homoscleromorpha; Homosclerophorida; Plakinidae.